This 279-nucleotide ribosomal RNA is filed under the name uncultured bacterium. RNAcentral's name for it is "partial 16S ribosomal RNA". It matches the Rfam family "Bacterial small subunit ribosomal RNA", at positions 506 to 784 of the family's 1533-position model. The record is from RNAcentral.
UGCCAGCAGCCGCGGUAAUACGGAGGAUCCAAGCGUUAUCCGGAAUUAUUGGGUUUAAAGGGUCCGCAGGCUGUUUGUUAAGUCGGGGGUGAAAUCCUACCGCUCAACGGUAGAACUGCCUUUGAUACUGGCAAACUUGAGUUAUUGUGAAGUAGUUAGAAUGUGUAGUGUAGCGGUGAAAUGCAUAGAUAUUACACAGAAUACCAAUUGCGAAGGCAGAUUACUAACAAUUAACUGACGCUAAAGUACGGAAGCAUAGGUAGCAAACAGGAUUAGAUA